This 481-nucleotide ribosomal RNA is filed under the name uncultured bacterium. RNAcentral's name for it is "partial 16S ribosomal RNA". It matches the Rfam family "Bacterial small subunit ribosomal RNA", at positions 28 to 507 of the family's 1533-position model. The record is from RNAcentral.
GAUGAACGCUGGCGGCGUGCUUAACACAUGCAAGUCGAACGAAGCAUUUGCGAAAGAUUUUUUCGGAAUGAAGGUGCUUAGGACUGAGUGGCGGACGGGUGGGUAACGCGUGGGUAACCUGCCUUGUACUGGGGGAUAGCAGCUGGAAACGGCUGGUAAUACCGCAUAAGCGCACAAUGUUGCAUGACAUGGUGUGAAAAACUCCGGAGGUAUAAGAUGGACCCGCGUCUGGUUAGCUAGGUGGUGUGAUAACAGCCCACCAAGGCGACGAUCAGUAGCCGACCAUAGAGGGUCGGCGGCCACGUUGGGACUGAGAAACAGCCCAGACUCCUACGGGAGGCAGCAGUUUGGAAUAUUGCACCAUGGAGGAUACUCUGAUGCAGCGACGCCGCGUGAGUGAAGGAGUUAUUCGUUAUGUACAGCUCUAUCAGCUGGGAAGAUAGUGACGGUACCUGACUAAGAAGCUCCGGCUAAAUACGUG